RNAcentral lists this ribosomal RNA (449 nucleotides) under uncultured bacterium. RNAcentral describes it as "partial 16S ribosomal RNA". It matches the Rfam family "Bacterial small subunit ribosomal RNA", at positions 29 to 523 of the family's 1533-position model. The record is from RNAcentral.
AACGAACGCUGGCGGCAGGCUUAACACAUGCAAGUCGAACGGGAUCUUCGGAUCUAGUGGCAGACGGGUGAGGAACACGUGGGAACAUCCCUUUCAGUUCGGAAUAACGUUGGGAAACUAACGCUAAUACCGGAUACGUCCUUCGGGAGAAAGAUUUAUCGCUGAAAGAUUGGCCCGCGUCUGAUUAGCUAGUUGGUGAGGUAAUGGCUCACCAAGGCUACGAUCAGUAGCUGAUCUGAGAGGAUGAUCAGCCACAUUGGGACUGAGAAACGGGCCGAAGUCCGGCGGGGGGCGGCAGUGGGGAAUAUUGGACAAUGGGCGCAAGCCUGAUCCAGCCAUGCCGCGUGAGUGAUGACGGCCUUCGGGUUGUAAAGCUCUUUUGUCCGGGAAGAUAAUGACUGUACCGGAAGAAUAAGCCCCGGCAAACUUCGUGCCAGCCGCCGCUGUAA